Molecule: long non-coding RNA, 373 nt
Organism: Ipomoea nil (Japanese morning glory)
Lineage: Eukaryota; Viridiplantae; Streptophyta; Magnoliopsida; Solanales; Convolvulaceae
Exons: 4
Source: RefSeq, a predicted model, not a curated record
GCAAUGGGCUAUACUGAUACGAGGUUCAAAGUCUCGCCAAGAAAGCAGCAGAAACUGUUGUCACUGUAAUUGAUGAGGAAGGUAUCGAGUCUUUACUGUCGGAGCUUCUCAAAGUGGUCUAUAUCUUGUUGAUGGGGCUCCAAAUGUGAUAUCCACCCUGAUUAUUUUACUAAGUGAUUCAGAUUCAGCUACCGUGACGAUUGCUUGGGAAGCAUUUGUCUAGUGUUAUAAGUUCAGUUCCUAAAGGAGUUCUUCCUUCGUAUAUAAAGUUGGUUCGUGAUGUAUACAAACAUGCAGGGAGGGACCAGUUCUAAAUUUCUAAUACCUGGUUUUUGCCUCCGGAAAGCUCUUCAACCUGUGCGUGCUUCCUAUU